GGGGGGGGGCCCAAGUCCCUUCCCGCCCCCCCCUCCCAGCACCACCACCCCCCCCAGCCCUUCUCCCAAAGUGACCUUGACCAAACGGUCCCUCUCCUCUUCGGCGGCGAUGGGAGGAGGAGGAGGAGGAGGAGGAGGAGGAAGAGGAGCCCCCAACGAGGUCUUGAAGGAACUGGAAGAACUGGGGCGUCUUCGAGCCGAAGCCAAGAGGGAUCGGGAACGGGAUCGGGAACGGGUUCGGGAACGGGGGGGUUGGCCGAGCUCCCGGCAACUUCGGCAACAGCAGAGCCUGGAACAUCGCCUCUUGGAACGGCGUUACCAAGAGUUGGCCGAAAGCCGACGGCAAGCGGUGGCCGCCCGUAAAGCGGCGGCCGAAGAAGAACGGUUGGCCGAUCUGGCUUCCGAUCUUCUCCUCCGGUAUCUCCUGCGCGGGCCCGGGGCGGCCGUGGCCGAGGAUAAACGAUCGGAAGAAGAGGAGGAAGAGGAGGAGGAGGAGGAGGAGGAAGGAGGAGAAGAAGAAGAAGGUGACGGGAUCCCGGCGGACGUGGAAGAUGGGUUGGAGGUCACCGGAGGGUUGGAUGGAGACGGGAUGGAGGGCGACGAGGGGUUCGGAGGAGACGAAGGUUUGGAGGACACCAGGGGGUUGAAGGUCAACGGGGGCUUGAAGGUCAAUGAUGGCUUCAAAGUCAACAACGGCUUCAAGGUCAACGAUGCCUUCAAGGUCAACGAUGGCUUCAAGGUCAACAGGGGCUUCAAAGUCAACGAUGGCUUUGGAGGCAACGGAGGUUUAGAGGACACCAGGAGUUUGAAGGUCAACGGGGGCUUCAAGGUCGACGAUGGCUUUGGAGGCAACCGGGGCUUGAAGGUCAACAAGGGCUUCAAGGUCAAUGGGGGGUUUGAAGACAAUGGGGGCUUCAAGGUCAACAGGGGCUUCAAGGUCAACGAUGGCUUUGAAGACAACGAGGGUUUUGAAGGCAACGGGGGCUUGGAAGACAACGAGAUCCUUCCAAGGGGCAACGAGAUCUUUCCUCGGGGCAACGAGGUUCUACCACGGGGCAACGAGAUCCUUCCACGAGGCAACGAGAUCCUUCCACGAGGCAACGAGGUUCUACCAAGAGGCAACGAGAUGUUUCCAAGGGGCAACGAGAUCCUUCCAAGGGGCAACCAAAUGUCAGGGGGUGACAACGAGAUUCCGGAAGGUUCCGAGGAGGUUCCUCCCCAGGAUCCGGCCGAGGUGGACGACUUGGAUCCCAGUACCAUCGACCAGUUAAUCGAGCUUUCCAGUAAGCUCCACUUGCCGGCCGACGACGUGGUGGACAUCAUCCACGACGUGGAGCAGAAAAGAAAGAUGGAGGCCACCGUGGGGGCCCCCCCCCGCCUCAUCCGACCCCCCCAGCCCCAAACUCCCCCCAAACCAUUCCCAGUUUCCCAGAGGUUUUCGGGUCGGACUUUCCUGCCCCUCCCCCGCCGCCCCCCUCCCCCGUUAAGGGAUCGGGAGCUGCAGAGGUAUCUGGAGAGGGUUUUGGGGGGGCCCCCCCGGGGGUACCCGUGACCCCCCCCCCCCCAGUGUGUGUCCUCCCCACCCCAUCCCGCCUGCUCGGAUGUUCCCCUCCCCAUCCUGGGGCCACCAGUUUGGUCCUCCCAGUUCUCCCAGUUCCUAUUGUAGAGUCCCCUCCAGUCUCCCAGUUCCCCCAGUCCCAGCCCCAGAGCGCCCCCAGUUCCCUCCCAGUUCUCCCAGUUCCCUCCCAGUUCUCCCAGUUCCUCCAGUUCCCUCCCAGUUUC
This 1782-nucleotide long non-coding RNA is filed under the name Calidris pygmaea (Spoon-billed sandpiper). RNAcentral's name for it is "lncRNA (ENSCPGG00000003529.1)". Lineage: Eukaryota; Metazoa; Chordata; Aves; Charadriiformes; Scolopacidae. The record is from RNAcentral.